GGUCCUGUGCACCUAGGUGGGUGAGGAGACGCGAGGAGGAGGAGGUGGCAGCCGUACUGAAGAUCCUCAGGAGCUAAGGGAAGCAACAACAGCAGGCAGCAUGGAAAAGAGCAUAAGAACACAAAAAUGCGAGAGCAGCCUGCUUCUUUGUCGUAUAAUUCUUCUAUAGGUGGCACGUUUAACGCUGGAGCUUGCAAUUCCUGUGGACACAGAGGAGCACCUCGAGCCAUGGCCUGCCCCUUGGACCCCUGAGCAGAGCCUGAGGCCAUGCUGUCCCUGUCACCAGGAACCCGCAGCCUUUCCUCUGGCUGUCAGAGUCCUCUAACUCUGGACAAAAAUAUGCAACAGAUUCUGAAACCUUGAUUGCUCCUUCAUCAAUGUAUUGAUGUUUAUGACAGUGAUAAAAAUGUGC
Long non-coding RNA from Chinchilla lanigera (long-tailed chinchilla), 412 nucleotides. RefSeq lists it as uncharacterized. NCBI's taxonomy places the organism in Eukaryota, Metazoa, Chordata, Mammalia, Rodentia, Chinchillidae. The record is from RefSeq and is a predicted model, not a curated record. The transcript is spliced from 3 exons.